UACGUAGGGGCCAAGCGUUGUCCGGAUUUAUUGGGCGUAAAGAGCUCGUAGGCGGUUCGGCAAGUCGAAUGUGAAAUCUCCACGCUCAACGUGGAGGGGUCAUUCGAUACUGCCGUGACUUGAGUACGGUAGGGGAGACUGGAAUUCCUGGUGUAGCGGUGAAAUGCGCAGAUAUCAGGAGGAACACCGGUGGCGAAGGCGGGUCUCUGGGCCGAUACUGACGCUGAGGAGCGAAAGCGUGGGGAGCGAACAGG
Molecule: ribosomal RNA, 254 nt
Filed under: uncultured bacterium
Lineage: Bacteria
Description: partial 16S ribosomal RNA
Rfam family: Bacterial small subunit ribosomal RNA
Source: RNAcentral